RNAcentral lists this long non-coding RNA (1251 nucleotides) under Serinus canaria (Common canary). RNAcentral describes it as "lncRNA (ENSSCAG00000005471.1)". Lineage: Eukaryota; Metazoa; Chordata; Aves; Passeriformes; Fringillidae. The record is from RNAcentral.
CUGCGGGAGAGCGCGGCCGGCCCGGGGGCAUGAGGGGAGCGCGGGGCGGGCUCGGGGGGUGCGGGCGGCUCAGUCGGUCCGGGAGCUCUGCAGGGUGUGCGGGAUGUCGCAGGGAUGUACGGGGGUAGUACAUGGCGUGCGGAGCGGGUCAGGCCGUGCGGAGGUGUACGGGGGUAGUACAGGGCGUGCGGAGCAGCUCAGGCUGUGCGGGGCCGGUGCAGGGUGUGCAGGAUGUCACAGGGGUAUAUGGGGGUAGUCCGUGACGUGCGAGGCGGCUUGGGGUGUGCGCGAUGUUACAGGGUGUACGGGGUAGUACGUGGCGUGCGGAGGUGGCGCAGGGCAGUGCGGGGACAGGGGACACCCGUCGCUGGCGGGAGGUUGGUGGCGGUGAGGGGAACAUGGCACGCAGCGCUGUGAGGGGCCAGGGCACUGCCGAGCCCUGCUCUGUUCCCGGGCAGCGCCGACACCCCGCGUACCGGGCUGGAAUGGCCUUCAGAGCACGGACCAUCCCGCCCCGCUGCUCUGGAACUGGCAGGGGUGACACCUGGCAGCUCCCUCCUGUCACAGCUGCCGUCACCUCCCGUGCGUGUGACAGCACCGGCCUCUCUCCCUGACUGCAGCCCGUGAGUCCCUGGGCCGGAGAAAGCCGAAAGCUUGGCCAUCCUGCAUCUUCUUCGAAGUACAAACAUACCCAGUCCAGACUCAGAAUGAGCUACAGCAACUGGAUAAAUCUACUGCGACCAUAAAGAAUUCAAGUGGUUAAUUUGAGUUAGAAGUCUCUCUGCAGGUGGAAUGCCUCCUGUCCCUCAAGUGGCUCAGCGGAUCAGCCAGGAGGAAAACCAACAGCAAAAUGGACCAAAUUUGUCAAAUCUGCUUGAUUCCUUCCCUGCUGCACACAGCAGGAACCCAGCUCUGCCCCAGCAGGUACAACCAGCAGGAUGGCAUAAGAACCAUGUGCUUGUGGUCCCAGCUCCAGUUCCCUCACAACAACAGCACACAGACUGGUCUCUAUUUGAUGUGACUGGGAUGGAAAACCAAAUCACUUGCUAUGAAGGACAAGUGCUGCCAAAACUGAAGGUAACUGGAAAGCUUAUUGAGGAGAUCUUCUGCUCCCCUUCGUCACCCAGACUUGAGCCAGUGAAGCUCCAACCAAACAGGUAUGCAGGGUUUUUUUUGCAUAAGCUUUAUCUGAUCACAAUAGAUUCAGAGAAGAAUUUUGAAUUUAAUAUUCCAGAAGAAAGAGACAACUGA